RNAcentral lists this ribosomal RNA (301 nucleotides) under uncultured bacterium. RNAcentral's name for it is "partial 16S ribosomal RNA". It matches the Rfam family "Bacterial small subunit ribosomal RNA", at positions 509 to 807 of the family's 1533-position model. The record is from RNAcentral.
CAGUAGCCACGGUAAUACGUAGGGUGCAAGCGUUAAUCGGAAUUACUGGGCGUAAAGCGUGCGCAGGCGGUUUGUUAAGACAGAUGUGAAAUCCCCGGGCUCAACCUGGGAACUGCAUUUGUGACUGGCAAGCUAGAGUAUGGCAGAGGGGGGUGGAAUUCCGCGUGUAGCAGUGAAAUGCGUAGAUAUGCGGAGGAACACCGAUGGCGAAAGCAGCCCCCUGGGCCAAUACUGACGCUCAUGCACGAAAGCGUGGGGAGCAAACAGGAUUAGAUACCCGUGUAGUCCCUGUCUCUUAUAC